UACGGGGGGAGCAAGCGUUGUUCGGAUUUACUGGGCGUAAAGGGCGCGUAGGCGGUCGUGACAAGUCACUUGUGAAAUCUCCGGGCUUAACUCGGAACGGUCAAGUGAUACUGUCGGACUAGAGUGCAGAAGGGGCAACUGGAAUUCUCGGUGUAGCGGUGAAAUGCGUAGAUAUCGUAAGGAAGACCAGUGGCGAAGGCGGAUCUCUGGACAGUUACUGACACUGAGGCACGAAGGCCAGGGGAGCAAACGGG
RNAcentral lists this ribosomal RNA (254 nucleotides) under uncultured bacterium. RNAcentral's name for it is "partial 16S ribosomal RNA". It matches the Rfam family "Bacterial small subunit ribosomal RNA", at positions 524 to 776 of the family's 1533-position model. The record is from RNAcentral.